CCUUCCCUUGCCUGGGUCAUCCAAGGUCGAACCACCUGUCAAUGAUACAGAAUUAGCUAUAGAAUUCAUAGCAAAGAUAAAGUUGAGAUGGAGACAGUCCCUGGCAUUAAGGUUAUUGACAGAAUAUUGGGAAAUAUACCCACUCAAUUUCUGUACACAGCUGACUAAGUUUGCAAGGAAAGCAUCUCAGCAUAAACCAAAGAGAUUAAGCUAUACCUGCAUACAUCUCUGAUCCAGCUUUCCUGUAGGAAUUAAUAUCUUUCUACAGGUUCUGCCUUACCUAUGAGGAGAUCUGUUUCCUAUUUCUUGUCGCAGCUUUUGAUUCUCUCUGUUUAGAUUGAUGUUUUCGUCUUUCAGUGAGUUGUUCUCCUGCAAUAUUGUUUGGACCAGGACUCCACUGGUGUCGGGAUGCCUCGGAUCCUCUUUGGGCCCAAGUUGUUUUGUCCCCAGGUUUUUCUGGACCUGUUGCUGUAAAACUUCAUUUUCUGUUCGUAAGAGCUGUACCUCAUCUGUAAAUAUGCACCAAGGAAGUGAUUGAUGGAGAUCUAAGUCUACAAUGUAUCAUGCCAUCCGUUCAGCAUUGAAAUCAAAGACAUCAGAGAGAUUUAUGCGACUGAAAAAUGUUCUUAUCAACCCAUUUCAUAUAUAAAUGUCACUCUUCCUCUCAUGUUUGUAAUUAUUUCUAAAAGUUUUCACAAUGCCAAUUUAUUCUUUUGACCUAUUAACUUUUAACAUGUCUAAGUUUUCACCAUAUCUUAUCCUACAUAAAGUAAUCUUUACUUUUUUAUCCUCCAGAA
Long non-coding RNA from Saccostrea cuccullata (small rock oyster), 797 nucleotides. RefSeq lists it as uncharacterized. NCBI's taxonomy places the organism in Eukaryota, Metazoa, Mollusca, Bivalvia, Ostreida, Ostreidae. The record is from RefSeq and is a predicted model, not a curated record. The transcript has 6 exons.